UGAGCUGUAGCUAAAUUUAAGUGCUUCAUUUACACUGAAGUGAUUGCCUAGUGGCACUGCUUAA
Molecule: transfer RNA, 64 nt
Filed under: Palaemon longirostris
Lineage: Eukaryota; Metazoa; Arthropoda; Malacostraca; Decapoda; Palaemonidae
Description: tRNA-Val
Source: RNAcentral